CCUUUUUUUUUAAAAAAAAAACUGAAAGAGCUCUCUCUUCUCUUUCAAGUGUCUCCCGCUUCCGGCCAAGCUCUAGCCAUGCACCGCCGCGUCGGCCGCCGGAAAACUCAAAAAAUUCUCUUUUUCGGCGAUAAAAAAAAAGGUGCAACUUAGGCGGUGGCAAUAGUGGAGGCGGUGGCCGACCAGGGACGAAGCCAGAACAAAUUUUUAGGGGGGGCGAAUAAAAAUUUAAUUUUUUAUAGAUCUUUAUAAUUUUUAAAGGAUUAAAUCAAAUUUUUAUAAUUUUAGGGGGGGCCAAA
Molecule: long non-coding RNA, 299 nt
Organism: Gossypium arboreum
Lineage: Eukaryota; Viridiplantae; Streptophyta; Magnoliopsida; Malvales; Malvaceae
Exons: 2
Source: RefSeq, a predicted model, not a curated record